GAUGAACGCUGGCGGCGUGCCUAAUACAUGCAAGUCGAGCGAACAGACGAGGCUCUUGCUCCUCUUACGUUAGCGGCGGACGGGUGAGUAACACGUGUAUAGCCUACCUAUAGGGCUGGGAUCACUUCGGGAGACCGAAUCUCAUACCGGUCAAUAUAUUGAACCGCAUGGUUCAAUAGUGAAAGACGGUUUUGCUGUCCCUUAUAGAUGGAUCCACGCCGCAUUAGCUAGUUGGUAAGGUAACGGCUUACCAAGGCAACGAUGCGUAGCCGACCUGAGAGGGUGAUCAGCCACACUGGAACUGAGACACGGUCCAGACUCCUACGGGAGGCAGCAGUAGGGAAUAUUCCGCAAUGGGCGAAAGCCUGAUGCAGCCACGCCGCGUGAGUGAUGAAGGUCUUCGGAUCGUAAAGCUCUGUAAGUAGGGAAGAACAAAAGUGAGUGUAAAUAUGCAUGUCUUGACGGUACCAAAACAAAAAGCAACGGCUAACUACGUG
RNAcentral lists this ribosomal RNA (497 nucleotides) under uncultured bacterium. RNAcentral describes it as "partial 16S ribosomal RNA". It matches the Rfam family "Bacterial small subunit ribosomal RNA", at positions 28 to 507 of the family's 1533-position model. The record is from RNAcentral.